AUCGGUCAAAAAUUAAUGCAAUAAAGACGGUUGGCUUUACAAAAAAAAUGGUGUCAAUGUUGUCUGAGCUCACUUUCAGUCUAUUUGGGCAUGCGUAUUUGCAAUUUUGCACGUUUGCACAAGACAAUAAAAAGGUACUUCCCGGAAAUGCAAAAAAACCAAAACAAAAAACCACGUGUUUAUUGUUGUCGUUUGAAUUUCAACUUUUAUUGGUUGGGUGUUUGAAUUUCUUUACUCUCAUUGGUUCUGGGCAUUUUGGGAGUCUCUGUUCUCGCGAGGAUCACCAUUUUGCAUUUCUUCCAACACAACUUAUGAUCGAUGGCGGCGAGAAGUAUUUCACCGCAGGACACGAUUCGAAUGGUGUUAGAAAAUCCUGAUUCCGACGACGACGACCUUUGUUCGGACGCUUCUUUGGAGAGCCCAGAAGACAUUGAACAAAUUCUUCCGGACUUUCGAUGCCGGAGGAGGACGGCUUUGAUGACGAGGAUUAGGAAAUAGUUGACAACAUAACGAGAUGAAAGCGGGGAGCAGAAGGCGGGGGCACGGACAUGACCACGUUGAGGCGCAUGACGAAAAUGACGGCGAUCGAGGCCUGAGGCACAUACUCCUGCCGCCGGCGCGCACUCAGGUGGCCAAUGUGUGUUUUUUCACAUGCCGGACAUUUCGUCAUGCAGCGCGUUUGUGCUGUUCACGGAGAUCUACCCUCGUUUGUGCUGUUCACGGAGAUCUACCCUGAGUGGAACGUGAAGAAAAGCUACAAGCGCCGACUAUUUCUUGAGGAACUUGGCAAGGCUCUAAUUCGGCCAGAAGUCCUAAAACGGGAACCACCGCCUUCUGCCGAAGGCUUGGUUGAGCAGCGAGCUGGACCCCCGUCCAAGCGCAAACAAUGUGGCCUUUGCACAAAGCCACUUCGGGCUUCGAACAUAAUAAUAAAUAAUAAUACAUUUUAUUUAUAACGCACUUUACAUUUGAACAACAAAUCUCAAAGUGCACAUCAUGAAUUGUGUAUGUUGUUAUUAUGUUAACUGUUAUAUUGUAUGUAUGUUUUGUAAAAUUGUUAACAUAAAUUCUAUCAUCAAAUCA
This is a long non-coding RNA of Corythoichthys intestinalis (scribbled pipefish), 1083 nucleotides long. RefSeq lists it as uncharacterized. The transcript has 2 exons. Lineage: Eukaryota; Metazoa; Chordata; Actinopteri; Syngnathiformes; Syngnathidae. The record is from RefSeq and is a predicted model, not a curated record.